Molecule: small RNA, 20 nt
Filed under: Arabidopsis thaliana (thale cress)
Lineage: Eukaryota; Viridiplantae; Streptophyta; Magnoliopsida; Brassicales; Brassicaceae
Description: Ath_wt_12321
Source: RNAcentral
AAGCGUCGUUCGGACCGCCU